This 145-nucleotide unclassified non-coding RNA is filed under the name soil metagenome. RNAcentral's name for it is "partial internal transcribed spacer 1". The record is from RNAcentral.
UAAUAAGUGUUUUAUGGCACUUUUUAAAUCCAUAUCCACCUUGUGUGCAAUGUCAGUCGAUCUUCUUCAUGGAGAUCGACCAAACAUCAACCUUUAUCUUUUAACUCUUUGUCUAAAAAAUAUUAUGAAUAAACAAUUCAAAAUA